This 282-nucleotide small nuclear RNA is filed under the name Phalacrocorax carbo (great cormorant). RNAcentral's name for it is "7SK RNA". It matches the Rfam family "7SK RNA". From Rfam's summary of the family: 7SK was discovered as an abundant small nuclear RNA in the mid-70s but a possible function has only recently been suggested. Two independent studies have found that 7SK RNA binds the CDK9/cyclin T complex (known as elongation factor P-TEFb). P-TEFb activates transcription by phosphorylating the C-terminal domain of RNA polymerase II. The record is from Rfam by way of RNAcentral. Lineage: Eukaryota; Metazoa; Chordata; Aves; Suliformes; Phalacrocoracidae.
GGAUGUGAAGGCGAUCUGGCUGCAAUAUCUGUCACCUCACUGAUGACCAGGGUUGAUUCAGCUGAUCUGGCUGGCUAGGUGGGUGGCCCCUUCUUCCCUCACUACUCCAUGUGUGUCCCUCCCGAAGCUGUGCCCUCAAAGAGGAUGACCUUCCCCAAUAGAUGUGUACCAUUCAUCGGUCAAGGGUAUAUGGUAGCUGAGCUCCCCUGCUAGAACCUCCAAAUAAGACAUGACAGGACUAAUAGCCCAGCUGAAGAGCAUCUACACCAAUGUACACAGGAU